AAAUUGAAGAGUUUGAUCAUGGCUCAGAUUGAACGCUGGCGGCAGGCCUAACACAUGCAAGUCGAGCGGUAGCACAGAGAGCUUGCUCUCGGGUGACGAGCGGCGGACGGGUGAGUAAUGUCUGGGAAACUGCCUGAUGGAGGGGGAUAACUACUGGAAACGGUAGCUAAUACCGCAUAACGUCGCAAGACCAAAGUGGGGGACCUUCGGGCCUCAUGCCAUCAGAUGUGCCCAGAUGGGAUUAGCUAGUAGGUGGGGUAACGGCUCACCUAGGCGACGAUCCCUAGCUGGUCUGAGAGGAUGACCAGCCACACUGGAACUGAGACACGGUCCAGACUCCUACGGGAGGCAGCAGUGGGGAAUAUUGCACAAUGGGCGCAAGCCUGAUGCAGCCAUGCCGCGUGUGUGAAGAAGGCCUUCGGGUUGUAAAGCACUUUCAGCGGGGAGGAAGGCGGUGAGGUUAAUAACCUCAUCGAUUGACGUUACCCGCAGAAGAAGCACCGGCUAACUCCGUGCCAGCAGCCGCGGUAAUACGGAGGGUGCAAGCGUUAAUCGGAAUUACUGGGCGUAAAGCGCACGCAGGCGGUCUGUCAAGUCGGAUGUGAAAUCCCCGGGCUUAACCUGGGAACUGCAUUCGAAACUGGCAGGCUAGAGUCUUGUAGAGGGGGGUAGAAUUCCAGGUGUAGCGGUGAAAUGCGUAGAGAUCUGGAGGAAUACCGGUGGCGAAGGCGGCCCCCUGGACAAAGACUGACGCUCAGGUGCGAAAGCGUGGGGAGCAAACAGGAUUAGAUACCCUGGUAGUCCACGCCGUAAACGAUGUCGAUUUGGAGGUUGUGCCCUUGAGGCGUGGCUUCCGGAGCUAACGCGUUAAAUCGACCGCCUGGGGAGUACGGCCGCAAGGUUAAAACUCAAAUGAAUUGACGGGGGCCCGCACAAGCGGUGGAGCAUGUGGUUUAAUUCGAUGCAACGCGAAGAACCUUACCUGGUCUUGACAUCCACAGAACUUAGCAGAGAUGCUUUGGUGCCUUCGGGAACUGUGAGACAGGUGCUGCAUGGCUGUCGUCAGCUCGUGUUGUGAAAUGUUGGGUUAAGUCCCGCAACGAGCGCAACCCUUAUCCUUUGUUGCCAGCGGUUAGGCCGGGAACUCAAAGGAGACUGCCAGUGAUAAACUGGAGGAAGGUGGGGAUGACGUCAAGUCAUCAUGGCCCUUACGACCAGGGCUACACACGUGCUACAAUGGCAUAUACAAAGAGAAGCGACCUCGCGAGAGCAAGCGGACCUCAUAAAGUAUGUCGUAGUCCGGAUUGGAGUCUGCAACUCGACUCCAUGAAGUCGGAAUCGCUAGUAAUCGUAGAUCAGAAUGCUACGGUGAAUACGUUCCCGGGCCUUGUACACACCGCCCGUCACACCAUGGGAGUGGGUUGCAAAAGAAGUAGGUAGCUUAACCUUCGGGAGGGCGCUUACCACUUUGUGAUUCAUGACUGGGGUGAAGUCGUAACAAGGUAACCGUAGGGGAACCUGCGGUUGGAUCACCUCCUUA
RNAcentral lists this ribosomal RNA (1540 nucleotides) under Klebsiella pneumoniae. RNAcentral describes it as "bacterial SSU rRNA". It matches the Rfam family "Bacterial small subunit ribosomal RNA". Lineage: Bacteria; Pseudomonadati; Pseudomonadota; Gammaproteobacteria; Enterobacterales; Enterobacteriaceae. The record is from RNAcentral.